AAUGACCUUGGACGCCUCCCUGACCAACAACCCCAUACACGCUCUUGACAGUGCUGAGGUGGUUGAAACCAGCCAGAACAGCACUUCACCAAUCUGGGCUUUAUGGGAGAGUGGCCAGACAGAAACCACUCCAGAGGAAAAGGGCAUGUGAACGACAGCAUAAGGCAAAAGAUUGGUCUAAUGAGACGAACUCUGGCCUGAAUUGAAAGCGCGGUCUGGAGAAACCCUAGCCCUUCAUUAAGACAAAGUUACACAACAUUGGGUUAGUGUUCCCACACGGUCAUAUCUCGAUGUUACAGCGCUUGUUUACGGAAAACACGAGGUGACCACCUGUGCUAAUUAGCUGUCUAGCAUGCUCCGAACACCUGUGUAAGUGUAGCUUCGUUGGAGGCACCCAUAGCUGUAUGGAACUGUGAAAAAACUGCUACAUUAUUUAAUGAAUCGUUUUUAUUUGAAAGAUUCUUUCUCGCUGAUGAGUGAUAAGGGCAAGGGCGCAACUUCGGUUUUUGUAGUUUUUGGGGGGGCAUCUAAAGCUAAUGUCCUGCAUUUUUACCCAAUCUAAUAUGACCCUUCGAGCCGUGUCUAUUUAGAACAACAAAAAGCAAAACAUGCCCAGUCAUCAAGAAAGAUGAAUGUGGUACCUUCAGGCGUUUGGAAAUUGCUCCCAAGGAUGAACCAGACUUGUGGAGGUCUAAAAUUUUGUUCUGAGGGCUUGGCUGAUUUCUUUUGAUUUUCCCAUGAUGUCAAGUAAAGAGGCACUGAGCACACAGAAAAACUAUUUGCAGUAGAAUGGCCUUACUGAAGAGCUCAGUGACUUUCAACAUGGCACCGUCAUAGGAUGCCACUUUUCCAACAAGUCAGUUCAUCGAAUUUCUGCCCUGCUCGAGCUGCCCCUGUCAACUGUAUUCACCCUGAAAGAGAUGAUGCCGGGCCUCCCGAGUGGCGCAGCGGUCUAAGGCACUGCAGUGCUAGAGGUGUCACUACAGAUCCAGGUUCGAGGUCAGGCUGUGUCGCAGCCGCCUGCGACCCAUGAGCCGACGCAUUUGCCCUGGCGCCGUCCGGGUUAGGGGAGAGUUUGGCUGGCCGGGAUGUCCUUGUCCAUUGCUCUCUAUCGACUCCUGUGGCGGGGCGGGCACAGUGCACGCUGACACGGUUGCCAAUUGGACAGUGUUUGCUCCAACACAUUGGUGCGGCUGGCUUCCAGGUUAAGCAAGCAAUGUGUCAAGAAGCAGGCGCUGCUUCUUUGGUCGUGUUUCGGAGGAUGCAUAGCUUUCGACCAUGGCCUCUCCCGAGUCCGUACGGGAGUUGCAACAAUGGGGCAAGACUAACUACAAAUUGUAGAAAAGGGGGUAAAAAGUACAAAAAAAAAAUAUUUCCUCAAGAGUGGAGAAGUCAUCAAUAACCUCUUCCUGAUAGACAAGGGUCUGUCCCAUUGAUUGUCUGGUCAACCUUAACAGCCAGUCUAAGAAUCUAGGAUUGGGCAGUGGCAACCUGUGCUACGCUAUGGUGGAAAAACUAAAAAGGUGGGCCACGGCUGUGCCACUGCCCUGGAACUAUUCUGUGACAAGGACCAGAGCGUCAAAUUGUCCUGGACAGCGACCUCGUCAACAUAGGCCAUGAGCGUGCACGUCCAUCCUAUUACCAAUGCUUCCAUUAUGGGACUAAAGCUAGAGGAUCUUACAUUUUUAAAGGACACAGGACAUGAACCAGUUCUUCAGAGCUUUAACUAGUAAAUACCUUGAAAUUAACACACUAUCCUGGCAGACUGUGUUUUGUCUUGGUACAAGGAUUUUUUUUCGAAGUUAUUUACCUUUGUGCCUUUCAACCUUAGGUGAAAAUUGUAAUAAUGCCCAUUUCUCUAACUUUUGGGACAGAAUAAGGUCUGGAGAGUCCUUAUUUUCUAUGGGCAAGAGAGCAGUCUUGAUUGUUGGUUAUAUGUGGAUGGUUGAUAGACAAUGUAGUAGUGAUUAUGGUGGUUGCAUCCUCGUAUCUCCCUCCGCAAGAUCUAGUCAUUUACACCUUUGACACAAUUACUGCAGACACGGAACAUUGAUUAUCCACUCAUAUCCCCCCCAAAAAACCUGGUUAUACUCUGGUGUAUACCUCCUUAUCCCGCAGACUACACCAUUGAGUGGCCAAAGUAUCCGUUUUAUGUAGGAUAAUGGUUAACUCAAGCUUUGUCGAUCCAGUAAAUGGACAUCUGCACAACCCCCGUUCAUCACUUGUGUUCCAUAAAGCUUUGACUGGGAUAUUUCUAUUCGUUAUAUAAAAGCAAUAUCAGAUUAAUUUAAAGAUGAUUUGCAUUCGUCUGUCCAUAGAAAUCAUGACAUUACUUUGGUCCAAUAUCCCAACAACUUUAGCUGGUGAGAUUUCCUGAUUCCAUAAACGCAGACAAAAAUAAAUCAUUCAUCAGGGGA
Molecule: long non-coding RNA, 2417 nt
Organism: Oncorhynchus keta (chum salmon)
Lineage: Eukaryota; Metazoa; Chordata; Actinopteri; Salmoniformes; Salmonidae
Exons: 4
Source: RefSeq, a predicted model, not a curated record